GAUGAAGAACGCAGCGAAAUGCGAUAAGUAAUGUGAAUUGCAGAAUCCAGUGAAUCAUCGAAUCUUUGAACGCACAUUGCGCCCGCCAGUAUUCUGGCGGGCAUGCCUGUCCGAGCGUCAUUUCAACCAUCAAGCCCCAGGCUUGUGUUGGGGACCUGUGUCCGACGCAGGCCCUGAAAACCAGUGGCGGGCUCGCUGUCCACACCGAGCGUAGUAACUAACCUCGCUACGGGAGCGGCGCGGGCGCCUGCCGUAAAACCCCCAAUUUUCACAAGGUUGACCUCGGAUCAGGUAGGAAUACCCGCUGAACUUAAGCAUAUCAAUAAGCGGAGGA
RNAcentral lists this unclassified non-coding RNA (334 nucleotides) under soil metagenome. Its description in RNAcentral is "partial contains 5.8S ribosomal RNA, internal transcribed spacer 2, and large subunit ribosomal RNA". The stretch from base 1 to 120 matches the Rfam family "5.8S ribosomal RNA", at positions 35 to 154 of the family's 154-position model. The record is from RNAcentral.